ACCAGACUCCUACGGGAGGCAGCAGUGGGGGAUAUUGCACAAUGGGGGGAACCCUGAUGCAGCGACGCCGCGUGGGUGAAGGAGCGUUUCGGCGCGUAAAGCCCUAUCGGCAGGGAAGAAGCAAGACGGUACCUGACUAAGAAGCCCCGGCUAACUACGUGCCAGCAGCCGCGGUAAUACGUAGGGGGCGAGCGUUAUCCGGAUUCACUGGGUGUAAAGGGAGCGUAGGCGGCCAUGCAAGCCAGGGGUGAAAGCCCGGGGCCCAACCCCGGGACUGCCCUUGGAACUGCAUGGCUGGAGUGCGGGAGGGGCAGGCGGAAUUCCUGGUGUAGCGGUGAAAUGCGUAGAUAUCAGGAGGAACACCGGUGGCGAAGGCGGCCUGCUGGACUGCGACUGACGUUGAGGCCCGAAAGCGUGGGGAGCAAACAGGAUUAGAUACCCCCGUAC
Molecule: ribosomal RNA, 447 nt
Filed under: uncultured bacterium
Lineage: Bacteria
Description: partial 16S ribosomal RNA
Rfam family: Bacterial small subunit ribosomal RNA
Source: RNAcentral